UGGAAGUAAAAAUCGUAACAAGGUUUCCGUAGGUGAACCUGCGGAAGGAUCAUUAACAUUAAUUUACUACACACUGUUUUUUUACAACAAAACAAAUCUAUCUAAAAACAAUUCUUUACAAGAAAUUCUUAAAACUUUCAACAACGGAUCUCUUGGUUCUCGCAUCGAUGAAGAACGCAGCGAAAUGCGAUACGUAAUACGAAUCGCAGCUCUCGGAAUCAUCGAAUCUUUGAACGCACAUUGCACCAUUGGGUAUUCCCAAUGGUAUGCUUGUUUGAGCGAAUACUUCCCUAAUCCUCACGGAUUGUAUUGUGUUUGCACGAAAAUAAUGACGACAGUACUCUACAAAACGGUACCGUCAGUACACUCAUUUUUUUUCCUCAAAUCAAGUAGGACUACCCGCUGAACUUAAGCAUAUCAAAAGCCGGAGGAA
This 433-nucleotide ribosomal RNA is filed under the name Kodamaea ohmeri. RNAcentral's name for it is "eukaryotic LSU rRNA". The stretch from base 133 to 284 matches the Rfam family "5.8S ribosomal RNA". Lineage: Eukaryota; Fungi; Ascomycota; Pichiomycetes; Serinales; Debaryomycetaceae. The record is from RNAcentral.